Molecule: ribosomal RNA, 471 nt
Filed under: uncultured organism
Description: partial 16S ribosomal RNA
Rfam family: Bacterial small subunit ribosomal RNA
Source: RNAcentral
ACUCCUACGGGAGGCAGCAGUGGGGAAUUUUGGACAAUGGGCGAAAGCCUGAUCCAGCAAUGCCGCGUGAGUGAAGAAGGCCUUCGGGUUGUAAAGCUCUUUUGUCAGGGAAGAAACGGUGAGAGCUAAUAUCUUUUGCUAAUGACGGUACCUGAAGAAUAAGCACCGGCUAACUACGUGCCAGCAGCCGCGGUAAUACGUAGGGUGCAAGCGUUAAUCGGACUUACUGGGCGUAAAGCGUGCGCAGGCGGUUUUGUAAGUCGGAUGUGAAAUCCCCGGGCUCAACCUGGGAAUUGCAUUGGAGACUGCAAGGCUAGAAUCUGGCAGAGGGGGGUAGAAUUCCACGUGUAGCAGUGAAAUGCGUAGAUAUGUGGAGGAACACCGAUGGCGAAGGCAGCCCCCUGGGUCAAGAUUGACGCUCAUGCACGAAAGCGUGGGGAGCAAACAGGAUUAGAAACCCUUGUAGUCCCA